AGGGGUGAAUGCAUGAUCGCUCCGGCCUCGUGCCGGGGAGGAAAGUCCGAACACCACAGGGCGCGGUGGUUCGUAACGCGAACUCCGGGCAACCGGGGGAAAGUGCCACAGAAAACACACCGCCGAUGGGGCGCGCAGGCGCCCACAGGCAAGGUUGAAAUGGCGAGGUAAGAGCUCACCGCCCCCAUGGCGACAUGGGGGGCAAGGCAAACCCCACCGGGUGCAAGACCAAAUAGGGAGGCGUUUGAGGGCGGCCCGCCUGAAGCCUCCGGGUAGGUUGCACGAGAUGCCGGGCGACCGGCAUCCCAGUUAAAUGAUCAUGGUCCGCUUUCGGGCGGAAACAGAAUUCGGCUUACAAUUCACCCCUCUUU
Molecule: RNase P RNA, 371 nt
Filed under: Desulfobulbus propionicus DSM 2032
Lineage: Bacteria; Pseudomonadati; Thermodesulfobacteriota; Desulfobulbia; Desulfobulbales; Desulfobulbaceae
Description: Bacterial RNase P class A
Rfam family: Bacterial RNase P class A
About the family: Ribonuclease P (RNase P) is a ubiquitous endoribonuclease, found in archaea, bacteria and eukarya as well as chloroplasts and mitochondria. Its best characterised activity is the generation of mature 5'-ends of tRNAs by cleaving the 5'-leader elements of precursor-tRNAs. Cellular RNase Ps are ribonucleoproteins.
Source: Rfam by way of RNAcentral